AACUGCGAUAAGUAAUGUGAAUUGCAGAAUUCAGUGAAUCAUCGAGUCUUUGAACGCACAUUGCGCCCCCUGGCAUUCCGGGGGGCAUGCCUGUCCGAGCGUCAUUGCUGCCCUUCAAGCCCGGCUUGUGUGUUGGGUCGUCGUCCCCUCCGGGGGACGGGCCCGAAAGGCAGCGGCGGCACCGCGUCCGGUCCUCGAGCGUAUGGGGCUUUGUCACCCGCUCGAUAAGGACCGGCCGGGCGCCAGCCGGCGUCUCCAACCUUUUUUUCUCAGGUUGACCUCGGAUCAGGUGGGGAUACCCGCUGAACUUAAGC
Molecule: unclassified non-coding RNA, 314 nt
Filed under: plant metagenome
Description: partial contains 5.8S ribosomal RNA, internal transcribed spacer 2, and large subunit ribosomal RNA
Rfam family: 5.8S ribosomal RNA (bases 1-104)
Source: RNAcentral